GUGCUGGCUUUGUCGUGUGGGUACUUCGUACACAAUGGUUACAAUUUGCACUGCUCAUGCAAAGGACGCGGGUUCGAUUCCCGCACCCCUUUAGACCCACUGACGCCAUCCAGCACUUUU
Molecule: vault RNA, 120 nt
Filed under: Branchiostoma floridae (Florida lancelet)
Lineage: Eukaryota; Metazoa; Chordata; Leptocardii; Amphioxiformes; Branchiostomatidae
Rfam family: Vault RNA
About the family: This family of RNAs are found as part of the enigmatic vault ribonucleoprotein complex.
Source: Rfam by way of RNAcentral